RNAcentral lists this long non-coding RNA (437 nucleotides) under Phoenix dactylifera (date palm). RNAcentral's name for it is "long non-coding RNA (PDAC_LNC012010)". Lineage: Eukaryota; Viridiplantae; Streptophyta; Magnoliopsida; Arecales; Arecaceae. The record is from RNAcentral.
CCCUCCACUUACCUGGGAGCUUACCUGGUCAACUCGGUUCAUUAGACCGGAUUGGAGGCUUAGGUGCCCUCUUCAAACCAGUUAGGAGCUGUCUAGUGAUUUUAGGACAAAGACUAGGAUUGAUAUGCUUUUCUCUUUUAUUGCAUGCUUGAUUGAUCGAGUACUAGUGUAUGCACGGUAGUCGUUCUAGAGUACAAAACCCAUUACCUUUUGACCCUGAAAUAGAACGAACCCUUAGGAACAUUCGAGCUAAGAUCAAAACAUUAGGAUCAUCCCCACCUCUUAAGAUGGCUGAAGAACAACCCAAACUCCUGAGGGAAUACUUUACUCCCACUAUUUACACUUCCCCAUCUUACAUUCGAUUACCUGAGGUAGCAGCUGUACAAUAUGAAAUAAAGUCUAGUGUGAUCCAAAUGCUUCCAUCUUUUUAUGGGCUC